Long non-coding RNA from Ipomoea nil (Japanese morning glory), 728 nucleotides. RefSeq lists it as uncharacterized. The transcript has 2 exons. NCBI's taxonomy places the organism in Eukaryota, Viridiplantae, Streptophyta, Magnoliopsida, Solanales, Convolvulaceae. The record is from RefSeq and is a predicted model, not a curated record.
UCCAUUAAAAUUCAAAAAUGUUGCAUUAUAAAUUCAUAUAUGAAAUUCGAGAAACCUAUAUCUUCUUAUAGCAUAGUUGAAUGUACCUGAAAAUUUUCCAUGGUGCCUAACUGCCUAAGAAGGUAGUAUGUGGAAAUUCCAGAAGGAUCAAAGUCAAUUAUGGGGAACUACCAUCCAACUUUCAAUGGUGUCACAUCUUGCUUUCCAUCAUUUACUUAUACUUACUGCUUUAUAUCCAUACUUUCUGUCUCCAUUUCCUGUCAGCUUCUCUAGUUAGAAACCCUCAGUAUCAUCGCUUCAAGCUUUAGGAAGAAGGUGAAAAGUGAGAACAGAAACAAAAAAUACAAAUGAAUGCACCACCAGCAUGUCAAGAAAUGUCAUACUAUGAGCACAUUCAGCGCCGACGUGAAGAGAAAGGAUGCAUUUAUGCCUGUUUGUUCACCUUGUGUUGCUGUUUCUGCUGUAUUGAGACCUGUGAAUGCUGCUUAGACUGUCUAUGCUGCUGUUGCCCUUGAAAGCUAAAGCACUACCAGUACAAACUAUUUGAGAUCCAUGGAGGACAAUCAGGAAUUAUCACUCUCUUUUUUUUCUUUAACUAAUAAAGGGGAAAAUGGAAACAUUUCAUAUUUCAUUUCUAUAUCAUGAUAUGAGGAAAUAAUGUAAAGGCCAUGGUGUCUUCUAGUCUAGUUUUAUAAUUUCAUUAUAUAAACAAGGUUUAGUUGAUUUAA